GACGAACGCUGGCGGCGCGCCUAACACAUGCAAGUCGAACGAGCGAGAGAGAGCUUGCUUUCUCGAGCGAGUGGCGAACGGGUGAGUAACGCGUGAGGAACCUGCCUCAAAGAGGGGGACAACAGUUGGAAACGACUGCUAAUACCGCAUAAGCCCACGGGUCGGCAUCGACCAGAGGGAAAAGGAGCAAUCCGCUUUGAGAUGGCCUCGCGUCCGAUUAGCUAGUUGGUGAGGUAACGGCCCACCAAGGCAACGAUCGGUAGCCGGACUGAGAGGUUGAACGGCCACAUUGGGACUGAGACACGGCCCAGACUCCUACGGGAGGCAGCAGUGGGGAAUAUUGCACAAUGGGGGAAACCCUGAUGCAGCGACGCCGCGUGGAGGAAGAAGGUCUUCGGAUUGUAAACUCCUGUUGUUGAGGAAGAUAAUGACGGUACUCAACAAGGAAGUGACGGCUAACUACGUGCCAGCAGCCGCGGUAAAACGUAGGUCACAAGCGUUGUCCGGAAUUACUGGGUGUAAAGGGAGCGCAGGCGGGAAGACAAGUUGGAAGUGAAAUCCAUGGGCUCAACCCAUGAACUGCUUUCAAAACUGUUUUUCUUGAGUAGUGCAGAGGUAGGCGGAAUUCCCGGUGUAGCGGUGGAAUGCGUAGAUAUCGGGAGGAACACCAGUGGCGAAGGCGGCCUACUGGGCACCAACUGACGCUGAGGCUCGAAAGUGUGGGUAGCAAACAGGAUUAGAUACCCUGGUAGUCCACACCGUAAACGAUGAUUACUAGGUGUUGGAGGAUUGACCCCUUCAGUGCCGCAGUUAACACAAUAAGUAAUCCACCUGGGGAGUACGACCGCAAGGUUGAAACUCAAAGGAAUUGACGGGGGCCCGCACAAGCAGUGGAGUAUGUGGUUUAAUUCGACGCAACGCGAAGAACCUUACCAAGUCUUGACAUCCCUUGACGAUGCUGGAAACAGUAUUUCUCUUCGGAGCAAGGAGACAGGUGGUGCAUGGUUGUCGUCAGCUCGUGUCGUGAGAUGUUGGGUUAAGUCCCGCAACGAGCGCAACCCUUAUGGUCAGUUACUACGCAAGAGGACUCUGGCCAGACUGCCGUUGACAAAACGGAGGAAGGUGGGGAUGACGUCAAAUCAUCAUGCUCUUUAUGACUUGGGCUACACACGUACUACAAUGGCGUUAAACAAAGAGAAGCAAGACCGCGAGGUGGAGCAAAACUCAGAAACAACGUCCCAGUUCGGACUGCAGGCUGCAACUCGCCUGCACGAAGUCGGAAUUGCUAGUAAUCGUGGAUCAGCAUGCCACGGUGAAUACGUUCCCGGGCCU
Molecule: ribosomal RNA, 1332 nt
Filed under: uncultured bacterium
Lineage: Bacteria
Description: bacterial SSU rRNA
Rfam family: Bacterial small subunit ribosomal RNA
Source: RNAcentral